RNAcentral lists this ribosomal RNA (348 nucleotides) under Triticum aestivum (bread wheat). RNAcentral describes it as "partial small subunit ribosomal RNA". Lineage: Eukaryota; Viridiplantae; Streptophyta; Magnoliopsida; Poales; Poaceae. The record is from RNAcentral.
AUGGCAUCCAUGCCAAAUACGACUGUGCUGGCAACUUCGCUGGAGGCCAUGAAAACCCAUAGCGAGGUAUUUAAGAUGAAGCUGCUCAUGUACUUGAUUUUAGUUGUUUUUGCGCCUACCACAUCUCUUUGCCCAAGCAACAAGUGCUUCCCUAUCCUGGUGAAGCUGAAAGAUGUUAAGAACAUGAAUUGGUGUAAAUUCAUUGCAGACUUCCUGCAUGAUGCAUUCUUAAACAAGAUGUAUCAGAAGGGCUGUCGCUUGCACCUAAUGGUAUUUUCCCCCUACUUUUUUGCAAAUGCUCUUAUCACAUUCAUUCUUUUCCUAAAUCAACAUUGCAGCUGUUCAUAA